Non-coding RNA from Echinops telfairi (small Madagascar hedgehog), 375 nucleotides. The record is from the annotation of a RefSeq genome assembly. NCBI's taxonomy places the organism in Eukaryota, Metazoa, Chordata, Mammalia, Afrosoricida, Tenrecidae.
AUGAAUAUUGUGCCAAACUUGGCUUUCGUUUUGGCCAUUUUACAUGGUGUCCAGUGUGAGGUGCAGCUGGUGGAGUCUGGGGGCGAUCUGAGAAAGCCUGGAGGGUCUCUGAGACUCUCCUGUGCAGCCUCUGGAUUCACCUUCAGUAACUCUGUCAUGCACUGGGUCCGCCAGGCUCCAGGGAAGGGCCUGCAGUGGGUCGCAUACAUUAGUGGUGAUGGUAGUUACAUAAAGUACACUGACUCCGUGAAGGGUCUGUUCACCAUCUCCAGAGACAACUCCAAGAACACCCUCUAUCUUCAAAUGAACAGCUUGAAAACCGAGAACACGACCACGUAUUACUGUGCAAGUGACACAGUGUGGGGAAGUCAGUGA